CAUUAUCUGCCCUGGCUAUUUUAGCCUUUGGAGGUUCACAUGUGAUUGAGGGACAGAUGAGCACAGGCAAAGAAUGUCAAACGUGUGGAGAAUCUGAUCAUUCCCAUAGGAGCGUUGGAUUCCCGGCCGGUUCUUCACGGCGUUCUUCAGCUCAUGGCACUGGGCCAGUGGUGUUGGGGUUAGCAAGAGGCAUCGUAUUUUAUAUCGCUCUGCAGACAGCGGAUUGUACAUCUUAACUGAAAUGAAAAGGCAUGCUUAGUCCUCUGAAAGGUACGUCGUCUUUGCUGCCGUCUGAUUAGUUAACUAGUACUUUUCUUGGAAUUUUAAAUUAAGUGCUAGAGGAGAGAAAGCAUUCAUAAAUCCAAGCAAUGUUGGUGGAAAAACGCAGUGCAGUUACUACACAUAUUACUUUGGAAAUGAACAGAAAAACGAAUUCCUGCUGUGGGCUGCAGCUUCAGUCACGUUGCUGUGCUCAGCUCAGAUUUACAACAUGUUUCAGUAUCUGCUCUAUAUCCCAAGUGGCGCUGAGAUCAGAAAGCGGCGCUAUGCCGUAAAUAUCUGCGCUGGCUAUCCAACGUGCUGUUUGUUGAUGCGGUUUCCAUGGGGAGAGGACCCAGCUGAGGCGAGAGUGUGUCACACAGCAGCAGGCGAGGGCUCUAUGUACUGACCGUCUCCACAAAAUGGCCGCGACAGGCACCGGAGGACGCGAGGAGAAUCUCCAACUACCGGCGACAGCCAGGCUUUUGACACGCUGCCAGAAAGACACGACAUGUUUAUUUGGAAGCCAGCACACCAUGAACAACCCGUGUAACGUUUUAAAGACGCAAAGCGACUUUCUCAGGGUGAAGCUGAUGAGUUACUUCACACCGGGUUGCCUGCCGCGUUGAUGGGGUGGUGUGGAGACUCGGUGGGUAGCACUGUUGCCCUGCACCUCCACCUUUAGUCCUGCCUCUGCUCUCUGUGAAUGUGUGGAUUUUGUAAGCUCUCCCUGUAGUGUACGAUGCAUCCAGAUAUGCAGAUUUCUUCCUGUAUUCUGAAGGUGUCUCUAAACUGCAUGCGUCCUGCAAUGGAUUGACGUCCCUUCCAGGAUAUAGUCUUGCCUUGUCCUAUAAUUGCUAGGAUGGGCUCCAGGUCCCAGCAACCCCGUGCCAGAAACACGGGACUCUGGAGCAAGUCUCCGAAUGACACAUGGAGAGGAGCAUGAGGCUCAGUGAGGGAGGCGGGUUGACAGGCUGCCAGCGUACGUGGCCCCGCACCACAUGUUUAGCUGGGCAGGGAGCUUGGCCAUUGUCCAGGCACAUCUGUACGCAAUCCCACAGAACUGGCAGUUCAGCUGCAGAGGCCGAGCGGUUGGAGAGGGAGAGCGGCACUUUCUCAGACCACAAGAACCUGCUUUUUCUGCUCCCCAGACGGUCCUGGACUGGCAGCCCAAAGACGUAAUCCUGGCAAAGCAGUGGUCCGGCGAAACCAGUCAAGAACGGUGGGGGGGGGAGGGCUGUCUGGCUUGUUUAAAAGGUUCCAGUUUCAGUGUGUGAGCCUGCAGUGGUGCCUUUCAGAACUGCCCUUCAAAAUGGCUUUGAUGAUAAGAGCAGAUCUCCACGGCUGAUAGAAAAAGACAAUAAGAUGCCUCUCCUUUAAGACAAUAAGAUGCCUCUCCUUUAAGACAAUAAGAUGCCUCUCCUUUAAGACAAUAAGAUGCCUCUCCUUUAAGACAAUAAGAUGCCUCUCCUUUAAGACAAUAAGAUGCCUCUCCUUUAAGACAAUAAGAUGCCUCUCCUUUAAGACAAUAAGAUGCCUCUCCUUUAAGACAAUAAGAUGCCUCUUCUUUAAGACAAUAAGAUGCCUCUCCUUUAAGACAAUAAGAUGCCUCUCCUUUAAGACAAUAAGAUGCCUCUCCUUUAAGACAAUAAGAUGCCUCUUCUUUAAGACAAUAAGAUGCCUCUCCUUUAAGACAAUAAGAUGCCUCUCCUUUAAGAGAUGAAGAGGCUGUGCAGCCGGUGGCUUGGAGGCUGACGACGAAAGCAGUUUCUGCAUAGACUUUCCCAGCUCGAUCCCUCCAGAACAUGCUGUCCUGCACAAGUCGCAAAACGCCACCCAGCUACAGUCUAACAGUCUUUUGCAAGUAUUAUAUUUCUUGCAUAAACAAGUGAAGGUUGAGCCCCCACCCUGUUCAUAUCAUGGCUGAUCUGGGCCAGAUUUAAGGCCCAAAGGUCUAAAGGAGGAAAUACAUACUGCAGUGCAGACCUGUGAUGUUUAACAUGUCAGGAAUGGGGACAGCAGAAAGCAUGGCGGCUAAAGAAGUGAACUUUCAAAGCAAAUGUUGCUGGCUAGACAUUGCUGCUGUACGCAUGUCCAGACUAUGGCUCUCAUCCCCGUCACCUUCCAUACAGUGACACCGCCAUCCUGGACCUCUAGCUCACACGGCCUGGAAGAAGCAGAUCCAUGCAGCGUGCACAUGGGCUGUCCGGCUUACAUCACCGACUGGAACGAUCCCGAGAAUCCAGCGGCAACAUUCCCAAA
This is a long non-coding RNA of Brienomyrus brachyistius, 2520 nucleotides long. RefSeq lists it as uncharacterized. The record is from RefSeq and is a predicted model, not a curated record. NCBI's taxonomy places the organism in Eukaryota, Metazoa, Chordata, Actinopteri, Osteoglossiformes, Mormyridae. The transcript is spliced from 4 exons.